Molecule: ribosomal RNA, 505 nt
Filed under: uncultured bacterium
Lineage: Bacteria
Description: partial 16S ribosomal RNA
Rfam family: Bacterial small subunit ribosomal RNA
Source: RNAcentral
GACGAACGCUGGCGGCGUGCCUAAUACAUGCAAGUAGAACGCACAGUUUAUACCGUAGCUUGCUACACCAUAGACUGUGAGUUGCGAACGGGUGAGUAACGCGUAGGUAACCUGCCUGGUAGCGGGGGAUAACUAUUGGAAACGAUAGCUAAUACCGCAUAAUAUUAAUUAUUGCAUGAUAAUUAAUUGAAAGGUGCAAUUGCACCACUACCAGAUGGACCUGCGUUGUAUUAGCUAGUAGGUGAGGUAACGGCUCACCUAGGCGACGAUACAUAGCCGACCUGAGAGGGUGAUCGGCCAAACUGGGACUGGGACAAGGCCCAGACUCCUACGGGAGGCAGCAGUAGGGAAUCUUCGGCAAUGGGCGGAAGUCUGACCGAGCAACGCCGCGUGAGUGAAGAAGGUUUUCGGGUCGUAAAGCUCUGUUGUAAGAGAAGAACGGGUGGGAGAGUGGAAAGUGCACACUGUGACGGUAUCUUACCAGAAAGGGACGGCUAACUACGUG